GUGGUACCUGAAGGGAGGUUUUCUGGGUUUCUGUUUCUUUAAUGAGGAUGAAACACACCUGGUUAACCUCUUUUCCAGUAUCAA
Molecule: microRNA precursor, 84 nt
Organism: Macaca fascicularis (crab-eating macaque)
Lineage: Eukaryota; Metazoa; Chordata; Mammalia; Primates; Cercopithecidae
Source: Ensembl